GCCUGGGGGCCGAUCCCCAGCUGGAGUCGGACUCCCGGCAUCUGCCCCCCCGGCGCGCCCCGCCCGCUGACCCGGCCGCUUGUCCGGUGCUGCCUCUGCCUUUGCAGCCUCCCCUCCUCGGCGGCCGGGCCGACGCGGAAAGGAAGAUGUCCUCGGCCGCCGGCCCUGCCCUUGUCCCUGCGGUCGGGCGGCGGCCUCCACGCGGCCGAGACUUCAGGAUCAAGCGAUUCCUGGCCAAGAAACAAAAGCAGAAUCGUCCCAUUCUCCAGUGGAUUCCAAUGAAAACUGGUAAUAAAAUCAGGUACAACUCCAAGAGAAGGCAUUGGAGAAGAACCAAGCUGGGUCUAUAAGGAGCCUCACAUAGGAAGUGGCACACAGUUAAGCUAUCAAGGUCAAUUGCGUCUUACCGUAUCAGAACAUCACUAGUGUCUGGAACAGCUGCCUGUGUUUGAUGGGAGAAAUGGAAUGGCUCUCUCCUCUUGAUCUUUCCUCACCACUGCUCACUGUGUAGCUCAGUAAUAUGUGAAACCUUUUGUUGGAAAAAAAAAAUCUCACUUAAUAAUU
Long non-coding RNA from Physeter macrocephalus (sperm whale), 564 nucleotides. RefSeq lists it as uncharacterized. The transcript is spliced from 2 exons. The record is from RefSeq and is a predicted model, not a curated record. Lineage: Eukaryota; Metazoa; Chordata; Mammalia; Artiodactyla; Physeteridae.